CAAGCCUACGGGGGGCAGCAGUGGGGGAUAUUGCACAAUGGGGGGAACCCUGAUGCAGCGACGCCGCGUGAGUGAAGAAGUAUUUCGGUAUGUAAAGCUCUAUCAGCAGGGAAGAAAAUGACGGUACCUGACUAAGGAGCCCCGGCUAACUACGUGCCAGCAGCCGCGGUAAUACGUAGGGGGCAAGCGUUAUCCGGAUUUACUGGGUGUAAAGGGAGCGUAGACGGUUAUGCAAGUCUGAAGUGAAAGCCCAAGGCCCA
Molecule: ribosomal RNA, 260 nt
Filed under: uncultured bacterium
Lineage: Bacteria
Description: partial 16S ribosomal RNA
Rfam family: Bacterial small subunit ribosomal RNA
Source: RNAcentral